GCUAGGUGUAGUAGCAAGUGCCUGUAGUCUCAGCUACUUGGGAGGCUAAGGCAGGAGGAUCCCUUGAGUCCAGGAGUUUUGAGUUAUAGUAGUUCAGUGAUUAAGUUUCUGUACCAGAUUUGCUAUCAUUAUGGUGACCUCCCAGGAGUAGGGAACCACCAGAUGGCCUAAGGAGAGAUAAACCAACCCAGGUUGGAAAUGGAGGAGGUCAAAACUAUGCUGAUCAGUACUAGGAUUACACAUGUAAACAGCCAAUGCACUCUAGCUUGGGCAACAGAACAAGACCCCAUCUCU
Molecule: signal recognition particle RNA, 294 nt
Filed under: Saimiri boliviensis boliviensis (Bolivian squirrel monkey)
Lineage: Eukaryota; Metazoa; Chordata; Mammalia; Primates; Cebidae
Description: Metazoan signal recognition particle RNA (ENSSBOG00000010075.1)
Rfam family: Metazoan signal recognition particle RNA
About the family: The signal recognition particle (SRP) is a universally conserved ribonucleoprotein. It is involved in the co-translational targeting of proteins to membranes.
Source: RNAcentral